RNAcentral lists this ribosomal RNA (377 nucleotides) under uncultured bacterium. RNAcentral describes it as "bacterial SSU rRNA". It matches the Rfam family "Bacterial small subunit ribosomal RNA", at positions 521 to 896 of the family's 1533-position model. The record is from RNAcentral.
UAAUACGGAGGGUGCGAGCGUUGUCCGGAAUCACUGGGCGUAAAGGGCGCGUAGGCGGCGCGGUAAGCGUGCGGUGAAAGCCCGGGGCUCAACCCCGGGUCGGCCGUGCGGACUGCCGGGCUCGAGCACUGUAGAGGCGGGUGGAAUUCCGGGUGUAGCGGUGGAAUGCGUAGAGAUCCGGAAGAACACCGGUGGCGAAGGCGGCCCGCUGGGCAGUGGCUGACGCUGAGGCGCGACAGCGUGGGGAGCAAACAGGAUUAGAUACCCUGGUAGUCCACGCCGUAAACGAUGGGCACUAGGUGCUUCGGGGAGCGACCCCCGGGGUGCCGGCGCUAACGCAUUAAGUGCCCCGCCUGGGGAGUACGGCCGCAAGGCUG